RNAcentral lists this ribosomal RNA (460 nucleotides) under uncultured bacterium. RNAcentral describes it as "partial 16S ribosomal RNA". It matches the Rfam family "Bacterial small subunit ribosomal RNA", at positions 338 to 795 of the family's 1533-position model. The record is from RNAcentral.
CCUACGAGGGGCUGCAGUGAGGAAUAUUGGUCAAUGGGCGCGAGCCUGAACCAGCCAAGUAGCGUGAAGGAUGACUGCCCUACGGGUUGUAAACUUCUUUUAUAAAGGAAUAAAGUGAGGCACGUGUGCCUUUUUGUAUGUACUUUAUGAUUAAGGAUCGGCUAACUCCGUGCCAGCAGCCGCGGUAAUACGGAGGAUCCGAGCGUUAGCCGGAUUUAUUGGGUUUAAAGGGAGCGUAGAUGGGUUGUUAAGUCAGUUGUGAAAGUUUGCGGCUCAACCGUAAAAUUGCAAUUGAUACUGGCAGUCUUGAGUACAGUUGAGGUAGGCGGAAUUCGUGGUGUAGCGGUGAAAUGCUUAGAUAGCACGAAGAACUCCGAUUGCGAAGGCAGCUUACUAAACUGCCACUGACAUUGAUGCUCGAAAGUGUGGGUAUCAAACAGGAUUAGAUACCCCUGUAGUC